CACACCGCCCGUCACACCACGAAAGCCUAUUGUACCUUAAGUCGCUGCGUCAACCCGCAAGGGAGACAGGCGCCCACGGUAUGAUCGGUGAGUUGGGGUG
RNAcentral lists this ribosomal RNA (100 nucleotides) under uncultured bacterium. RNAcentral describes it as "partial 16S ribosomal RNA". It matches the Rfam family "Bacterial small subunit ribosomal RNA", at positions 1386 to 1482 of the family's 1533-position model. The record is from RNAcentral.